This 65-nucleotide transfer RNA is filed under the name Dipodomys ordii (Ord's kangaroo rat). It matches the Rfam family "tRNA". From Rfam's summary of the family: Transfer RNA (tRNA) molecules are approximately 80 nucleotides in length. Their secondary structure includes four short double-helical elements and three loops (D, anti-codon, and T loops). The record is from Rfam by way of RNAcentral. Lineage: Eukaryota; Metazoa; Chordata; Mammalia; Rodentia; Heteromyidae.
GGUGGCUCAGUGGUAGAGCACUUGCUUUCCAUGCAUGAGGCCUUGGGUUCGAUUCCCCAGCACCA